CCCGCUGAACUUAAGCAUAUCAAUAAGCGGAGGAAAAGAAACUAACAAGGAUUCCCCUAGUAACUGCGAGUGAAGCGGGAAAAGCUCAAAUUUAAAAUCUGGUGGUCUUUUGCCCAUCCGAGUUGUAAUUUAGAGAAGCGUCUUCCGCGCUGGACCGUACACAAGUCUCCUGGAACGGAGCGUCAUAGAGGGUGAGAAUCCCGUCUUUGGUACGGACCCCCAGGGCUUCUGUGAUGCGCUCUCGAAGAGUCGAGUUGUUUGGGAAUGCAGCUCAAAAUGGGUGGUGAACUCCAUCUAAAGCUGAAUAUUGGCGAGAGACCGAUAGCGAACAAGUACCGUGAGGGAAAGAUGAAAAGCACUUUGGAAAGAGAGUGAAACAGUACGUGAAAUUGUUGAAAGGGAAACGCUUAAAGUCAGUCGCGUCGACCGAGACUCAGCCUCGCUCCGGCUUGGUGUAUUUCUCGGCCCGACGGGUCAGCGUCAAUUUUGCCCCUCGGAUAAUGGCAAGGGAAAGGUGGCACCUUUGCGGGUGUGUUAUAGUCUUUUGUCGCAUGCGAGGGGUGGGAUUGAGGAACUCAGCACGCGCGCCCUUCUGGGUGUGUCGGGGCCUCGGCCCACGCCACGUGCUUAGGAUGCUGGCGUAAUGGCUUUAAACGACCCGUCUUGAAACAC
Molecule: ribosomal RNA, 672 nt
Filed under: uncultured fungus
Lineage: Eukaryota; Fungi
Description: eukaryotic LSU rRNA
Rfam family: Eukaryotic large subunit ribosomal RNA
Source: RNAcentral